Spinacia oleracea (spinach) is the source of this 1698-nucleotide long non-coding RNA. RefSeq lists it as uncharacterized. The transcript is spliced from 7 exons. NCBI's taxonomy places the organism in Eukaryota, Viridiplantae, Streptophyta, Magnoliopsida, Caryophyllales, Amaranthaceae. The record is from RefSeq and is a predicted model, not a curated record.
UUCAACCGAAGUUCUGAUCUACUUAUUAAAACUAUUUGCCAGAUGGAAUCUUGCUUCUUGAAGCUAAUAGAAUGUUCAGAGCUGGAGGAUAUUUUGUAUGGGCAGUAUUGCCAGUCUAUAAACUUGAAGAUAACUUGCAAAAGCAGUGGAAAGAAAUGGAGAAUCUUACGUCCCAUAUUUGCUGGGAACUGGUAAAAGGGAGGGUUAUAUUGCUAUAUGGAGGAAGCCUUUGAACAACAUUUGUUAUCUGAAUCGUGAAGUUGGUGCGAAACCUCCACUUUUUGACCCGAAAAAUUAUCGAGACAGUGUCAGGCAUGUGGGACAGAAGGUCUGUAUUACAAGGGUACCUAAUAACGGAUGUGAAUGUUGUCGGAGAGAGAAUAAGUACCCUCAAUUUUGCAGAGAGGGUUGCCUCUAUAGUACUUGGAGCUGCUCGAGCUAACACUUGAACGUGAAGCAAAUACUAUUUUAUUGGAGAAGGGAUCAUUGAAGUAGCUAAAUGUAGGCUGUAUUUUACAAGAGUGAGACUAGGAACUACCCCAAGGGAAUACAAUGUGCAGAUUAUGGGUUCCAUUUAUUGACUGUCCACGGGCGAGUGGGUUUCAUUUAUGUUUCUACUCAAUAUCGCGCUUUAUUGUGUGAUUAUUUGAAUGAUGGUUAUUAGUUUCUGCUGACUGAUAUUAGGUCGAGCUCAAUUUCUAUGAUAUCAAUGGCUCCUCAACUGCCAACGCAGUUUCUUGUUCAGACCCAGUAUGUAGUACUAUGGUUCCACCAGCAUCGUCUCACUGCUCAGCUGAAAGUAAACAGUGCGGUUACUCGUUUCAAUAUGGUGAUGGAAGUGGGACCUCAGGGUUUUAUGUGUCUACUAUGAUGUACUUUUAUAUGAUCUAGGGAGCUCUAUGAACGCUAAUUCACCUGCCUCUAUCGUUUUCAGAUGCAACAAUUAUCAAUCUGGAGAUUUGAUCAAUUCAGAACGUGCUCUUGAUGGGAUCUUUGGUUUUGGUCAGCAGGGCUUGUCCUUUGUAUCUCAAUUUUCUUCCAGGGUAAUAACACCUCAACCAUUUUCCCAUUUUUGAAAGGAGGAGGAAAUGGUGGGGUUAUUCUGGUGCUUGUAAGAUUUUGGGCCCAAGUAUUGCGUAUGGUCCACUUGUGCCAUCAUAGGAGGAGAGGAUGCUGCCAUUGUCAGAUACAUGUACACAAGGAUGACUGAAAUCACUAGAGAACUACUAGGAAAGAUACUGGAAUCACUUCACAGUUAGUGGAACUAUUGAGGUAGUGGAUGUAGACAGUGCAAGUGAUGCAAGUGAUGCAAGUGAAGGGACGAUGUAACUCUCAGAAUCACUGAACUACCAGUUCGGAAGUGGACUCAAGAUUAUAAGGAAUUUUAAAGAGAGACAGAGAUCAAAUGAUGUAGCAAAAUUAAAUGAUGCGGCGAAUAUUCGGUGCUAAGGAGUUCUUUGAGAUUUUUCAAAGAUGCUUCUGAUCAGGUAUUGAUGUACAUUUCUCUAUUUUCACCGAUCGUGGAGUCUAGGACUUCUAACAGUCUGUGCCUCUCAAUUUUGAGUUUCAUAAAAAGGUUGUGAUUCUUUUCAUUCUGUACUUAUUGUGCAACUCCUUUAACACCUAAGAAAACUUUAGAAAUAUUUUCAGCAGUAAUGUGUAAUGAACAUGCCUAAUAAAGAUGAUUCAGUUAUUUCA